This 1138-nucleotide long non-coding RNA is filed under the name Fukomys damarensis (Damara mole-rat). Its description in RNAcentral is "lncRNA (ENSFDAG00000031166.1)". Lineage: Eukaryota; Metazoa; Chordata; Mammalia; Rodentia; Bathyergidae. The record is from RNAcentral.
AUAUUUUAUCAGAGCUGAAAUUGAAAGAAAUUUCUAGCGCAGAUGGCUGAGGUGGCUUGUGACGCAGGGCGGCAGGGCCGUGGCUAAGUCCUGUCUGCGUGUAUGGAGCCGGGCGCCUGUCCGUCUCCAAAUGCAGGAGAACCCUGCCCCACCCCAGCCCAGAAUGGAUGCUCACGCGUGAGGCUCUUUCCACCCUCCCUCUCCCUGCUGCCUGCCGCCUCCCUCCUUGGCUGUUAGGGCUUCCUGAGCUGACUGCUUGGGGGACAUGGAGACUCCCAGGAAACAAAAGCAAGAAGGGAAAGAAUGGGCUGCAGCUUCUGUGGGCGCGGAGGGCGGAGUCUGGAAGUAAAGACCAGCUCUUCCGCAGCCCUGGGCCGGAGCACUGGGGCGGAUCGCAAUCCCCAGACGCCGGGAGAUCGCCGCGGGCCUUAGUGACAGCUAACUCCCAGGAAGCCAGCCAGUGUCGGGUGCUGUGUGUGGACCGCCCAGAUGAUGACCACCUUCAGAGGUGGGCACUGUUCCACAAAUUUUCCAGGCGGGACAACCAAGGGACCCUCCCACGGUGAGGCCGUGCGGAUCUCGUUUUGGCCAGGCUGUUCUCCUGGCUCGCGGCCAGGAAUCUUCAGAGCCAGUAGCAGCACGGCGAAAGGAAACUUCUGGUGUGUUUGUGUGGCAGGUAAUUGUGGUGUCAACAUGAAGAAGAAAGGCCUAGCCAAGGGGCUGGCAUGGUUCUAGGUGUGUGUGGACGCCUGACUUCCUGAAGAGGAGAGACCCACCCGGACGUGGGUGGCACCAGCCAACAGGCUUGUAACUUGGACCGACACAAAGGGAAAGAAGGAGGCAAAAUCUUCCUCACUGUGUCUCUACAACUCUGUUAGCCUAUCCUUGGCUUUUUGUUUUUCCAGGAGUUUCUCAUGAAAGACCAAUUGACAGUGACAUACCUGAGAAUCAUGCUGAUUUGCAGCCAGAGUAAUUCCACUGACUUGUGUCUUAUUGAAAAGUUUUUUAUGCUAAUACUUGGUCAUGAAAUAAAUUACAUUUUCUUCUGUAGGCCUCGACUUUUGCCUUUCAUGUUUAGGUUUAAUCCACCUGGAGCUACCCCACCUCUGCCCUUCCUCCCUCAAUGCCACACAGACCC